GGGCGGGCUUCGUGGGGCUGCGGAGCUCGCGUGGAAAUUACUACCGGGCUUACAGCAGCACCCUCGGGAUGGGAGAGGAUGUGUGCUGUGGCACGCACUGACUACUUCGGGCACGGUGAAGGAGCAGUGUUGAAAAUUGCAGUGAAGUCGUGCCAUCAACCAAACUGGCUUCCUUCUUAUACCAUCUGGUCUAGGAAGCUCUGCAUUAGGCUGACUGAUUUACCUGUUCUGGAUGUUCCAUACAAGUGGAACCUUACAGUACCUGCCCUUCUGUGUCUGGCUUCUUUCGCUGUAGCAUAAUGUGUUUGAGGGUCGACCAUGUCAUAGCAGGUGUCAGUUCUUCAUUCCUUUUUAUGGCUGAGUAAUAUUCCAUUGUGUAGAUAAACCGCAUUGAUUACCCAUUUAUCUGCUGGUACAUGUUUGAGUUUUUCCACCCAAAUAUGCUUGGCUAUUGGGAAUAGUGCUGCUGCAGACAUUUGUGUACGAUGGGUUGUUUCAACACCUGUUAUCUAUUCUUUGAGGCAUACGAGUGUACCUUGGGGGCAUUGCAGUUUGGGUUCCAGACCAGCAAGUAUUGCAAUAAAGCCAGUCAAAUGAA
Molecule: long non-coding RNA, 598 nt
Organism: Lynx canadensis (Canada lynx)
Lineage: Eukaryota; Metazoa; Chordata; Mammalia; Carnivora; Felidae
Exons: 3
Source: RefSeq, a predicted model, not a curated record